This 463-nucleotide ribosomal RNA is filed under the name uncultured bacterium. Its description in RNAcentral is "partial 16S ribosomal RNA". It matches the Rfam family "Bacterial small subunit ribosomal RNA", at positions 28 to 507 of the family's 1533-position model. The record is from RNAcentral.
GAUGAACGCUGACAGAAUGCUUAACACAUGCAAGUCGAUGGGGAAGUGGUGCUUGCACCAUGGCAACCCUGGCGGACGGGUGAGUAACGCGUAAGGGACUUACCUGCAGGACUGGGAUAACAGGGGGAAACUCCUGACAAGACCGGAUAAUGUCAUGGAGCUGCAUGGCUUUAUGAUGAAAGGAGACGCCUGCGGAGAGCCUUGCGUCCUAUUAGCUAGUUGGUGAGGUAAUGGCUCACCAAGGCGAAGAUAGGUAGCCGGCCUGAGAGGGUGGACGGCCACAAGGGGACUGAGAUACGGCCCUUACUCCUACGGGAGGCAGCAGUGGGGAAUAUUGGACAAUGGGGGCAACCCUGAUCCAGCAAUUCUGUGUGCACGAAGAAGGUUUUCGGAUUGUGAAGUGCUUUCAGCAGGGAAGAAGUAAGUGACGGUACCUGCAGAAGAAGCGACGGCUAAAUACGUG